This 510-nucleotide ribosomal RNA is filed under the name uncultured bacterium. RNAcentral describes it as "partial 16S ribosomal RNA". It matches the Rfam family "Bacterial small subunit ribosomal RNA", at positions 28 to 507 of the family's 1533-position model. The record is from RNAcentral.
GACGAACGCUGGCGGCGUGCUUAACACAUGCAAGUCGAACGAAGAGCGACGGAAGCUUGCUUCUAUCACUCUUAGUGGCGAACGGGUGAGUAACGCGUAAUCAACCUGCCCUUCAGAGGGGGACAACAGUUGGAAACGACUGCUAAUACCGCAUACGAUCUAAUCUCGGCAUCGAGGAUGGAUGAAAGGUGGCCUCUACAUGUAAGCUAUCACUGAAGGAGGGGAUUGCGUCUGAUUAGCUAGUUGGAGGGGUAACGGCCCACCAAGGCGAUGAUCAGUAGCCGGUCUGAGAGGAUGAACGGCCACAUUGGGACUGAGACACGGCCCAGACUCCUACGGGAGGCAGCAGUGGGGAAUCUUCCGCAAUGGACGAAAGUCUGACGGAGCAACGCCGCGUGAGUGAUGACGGCCUUCGGGUUGUAAAGCUCUGUUAAUCGGGACGAAAGGCCUUCUUGCGAAUAGUGAGAAGGAUUGACGGUACCGGAAGAGAAAGCCACGGCUAACUACGUG